Non-coding RNA from Camellia sinensis, 2387 nucleotides. NCBI's taxonomy places the organism in Eukaryota, Viridiplantae, Streptophyta, Magnoliopsida, Ericales, Theaceae. The record is from RefSeq and is a predicted model, not a curated record.
UUUCCUUUAUCUAUACAUGUUUUUUGCCCCAAACACACACACACACACACACUCUCUCUCUCUCUCUCUCUCUCUCUACAUGCGAGCUCUCAAGUUCUCUUCGUUCUAGUCUGUUUGUGGUAUGUUCUUCGAGCAUUGCCUUGAUCAAUCGAGCCACUUCGCAUCUCCUCACAAUGUAUGUCAUUCACUUUCUCUCCGAAUCGAUUAAUUUUUCUCUUUGUCUCUCGAUCAUAUUUUCCCAAAAGCUUCAAAUUCAUCAUUUUAUUUGAAGUUAGGGUUCAGUGAGAGCCAUGGAAAUGCAAACUACGAAGCCAAAUGCAAUCUCAAUCAAUUAAUCUCAAGCCCUAACUGAUCUCUAUACUCCUCUGUAUCUAACGAUUCAAUCUCUCUGUAAUAUCUUCUUUGAUCGUGAACUUGAACCAGUUGAAGCAAUUCAUCAAUGAUUGAAAGUCCAAUCCCUCAAUCCUCUUCGAUCCUUCUCUCUCCUUCUUCUGAGACUACCUCGAAAGCCUCGGUUGUAAACUUCCUCCAUCUGCUUACAAGCCUAGAGAAUCUCCCUGCAACAUAUUAGUACUUCUGCAACCAUCUUUGUUCGUAUUUAAUUUGUUUGGCUGCUCAAAAAAUGUAGGAAAAUGCGUGAAACCAAAAUUGUUAGUCUAGAAUUUCAAAUUCCUUUACUUGUGUUCUGUGUGGGUGUGUGGGGAUUCAAGAGCAAGAAUGAUCAACCAAACAUACGAAGGUUUAGGGUUUAGGUCUAUCAAUGAAUUUAACGUUCUAAAUUUUAUGAGUCCGAUUGCAAAAUUCUUAUGUUUUGAAUUUUUUGUGUAGCUUGAUUUAGAGUUUUGAUAGUUUGUAAUAUGUAUUAUCUUAUUGAUGCUGAAUUUUGUAGAUGAGAGACUCUUCUAUUGAGGUCACAGAAGAAAACCGUGAUGCUUCACAAGAGGCUAAGGCACAAGCUAUGGAAGCAAUUUCUAAAAGUAUUCUAAUUUCACUACAUGUACAUAUGCACGUGCAUAGAAGAAGUGUAAAUUGAAUCAAAUUAUGGUUGAACGACCUCGCCUAUCCACUUCAAUGAAAAACAAAAACACUUCAAUGAAGUACUUGGUUUGUUUGACAAAUUUACAAAUAAUAGCAUAAGCUUUCAGAACAAUAAGUGAUCUAACAAGGUAUCCAAACUUUGUGAUUUUAGGAGGCCCUAGGUUAUUCUUUUGUUUCCCUGUGUUAUGUUUGUACACCUGUUUAAUUCUGUUUGUGGAUUAUCUGUUUGUGGAUUAUCCCCACUUACAAGAUAGGGUCACACUAUAAGAUGGCUUGAUAUAGGCUUUAAACUUUGAGAUAAUUGGUGAUCUAACUAAGAUGAAGAAAGUGGAAAAUUGCUUCUAGAGGUUUAGGUGAGUUUUUCCAAAAAAAAAAAAAAUAAAUAAGAAAAAUGAAGGUUUCUGAAAUUUUCACCUAGAAUCAACAUGAAAAAAUAGUUUCACAAGGUUUCAGUGUGAGUGUCAAUGAUGUAUAUCCAAAUUGACCCACCUUUUGCCAAAAAUCUUUGUAUAUCUCUGUUCUGAAGUUUAGAACAAAAGAGAUGUCAACUGUUAGCUUUUUGCCCAAGCCAUUUUUUGUGGAAGGUAAGAGUCUUGCAUGUUCACAAGGCCACAAAUCUAUCAAAUACAAUGCCAAAACAUCUUAUUUAUACAGGCUUACAACCCAAAUAAAAAAGGAAUCACUGCAGCUAAAGCUAUUGUAGAGGCUGGAAUUGCAGUGAUAGAACAUGUGGGGCUUACUCUUCAAGCCAUCAGUGUUCUUGGAGGAUUUAGGCCAUAAGAAAAGAAUAUUGAUAGUGUUGUCAAGGUCAAAAUCUCUCCUUACUUAUUAUGCAUACAUGACAUAAAUACUUCAUAAUUUUUGUUGAUAAAAAAAAAAAAAAACAUAAAUACUUCAUAAUUUAAUAUAUAAUCAAAUAUGAUCACACACAAAUCUGCAUAAUUUAUUUUAGUGUUAUGAUGCUAAUUUGGCUUGGUUUCUGCAAGUUGUUAAGUUUACCCUGGCUUUGCAAGAAGCUGGAUGCUUUUCUGUUGUUCUAGAAUGUGUGCUUGCACCUGUUGCUGCUACUACAACGUCUACUCUUCAAAUCUCUACCAUUGGUAUUGGGGCAAGGCCUUUCUGUAAUAGCCGAGUUAAUUGAUUCUUUAGCUCUCUCUGCUACUCCUAAUAACAAAUUAGACUUGACUGGCUUAUGUUGUGUAUAAUCUUUUUGCUUUCAUGUGUACAUAUAAUUUGCUAUCUGAUCUUGUAAUUUUCUUUUCAAGUACUAAAGUGGGCAUUUUAGUGAUAUCAUGUGUUCAUGUAUUGAGUUUGCUCAUGUAAUGAAUUUUGAAUUUGAUUUUCCUCUC